AACCCACGUGACCGCCACGCCCCAACCACCUUCCCUUUAAGCCGUCCCUUUAACAGCUGGGACCCUCAUGUGUAUUUCCGGGUUUCCACUGUGCUGCUGCUCACUGUUGGUUGUGGCGUCGGUUGUUAACAAAACAAUCUCAAAUCUCCAACUCGACUCAUCGCUGAACAAAUUCAUCCCUAAAACUCGAGGAUCUGCGGUUGGGCUUUGUUGAUGCCUGGUUUACCUUCUGAUGAGAACAAGUAACAUCCACUUCCUCAGACAAUCCGUUACUCGACGGUCAGGUUUUUUUUCUCCCCCUUCAUCGACUCGCUUGAUGACGGAGGAUGGCGAGCUACCCACACACCACCUGGUGGUAGGAAAAAGAGACACUUUCCACACAGGAAAACCAAACGACACUUUCCACACAGGAAAACCAAACGACACUUUCCACACAGGAAACAAAAUAAACUCUAAGGGAGUAUCUAAAGGAAAAGAACAAUUCUCCCGUUGCUCUUGGACUUUUGAACUACAUUUAGUUUUGAAGUAUUAUUAUUUCUUUGUUGG
Long non-coding RNA from Poecilia latipinna (sailfin molly), 546 nucleotides. RefSeq lists it as uncharacterized. NCBI's taxonomy places the organism in Eukaryota, Metazoa, Chordata, Actinopteri, Cyprinodontiformes, Poeciliidae. The record is from RefSeq and is a predicted model, not a curated record. The transcript is spliced from 3 exons.